This 790-nucleotide ribosomal RNA is filed under the name uncultured archaeon. RNAcentral describes it as "bacterial SSU rRNA". It matches the Rfam family "Archaeal small subunit ribosomal RNA", at positions 85 to 879 of the family's 1478-position model. The record is from RNAcentral.
ACUGCUCAGUAACACGUAGCUAAUCUGCCCUAUGGUCAAGGAUACCCUCGGGAAACUGAGGCUAAUACUUGAUAGGAGAUUUACCCUGGAAAGAUUUAUCUCUGAAACUCGUGCCAUAGGAUGAGGCUGCGCCGGAUUAGGUAGUUGGCGGGGUAAAUGCCCACCAAGCCAUUGAUCUGUAAGGGCUCUUAGCGGAGAGGCCCUGAGAGGGAAUCUGAGACACUAUUCCCAGCCCCACGGGGUGCAGCAGUUAGGAAUAUUUUGCAAUGCGCGCAAGCGUGACAAAGCGAAUCAGAGUGCUUUUCAAUUUUGAAAAGCUUUUAUGCACUGUAAAAAAGUGCAGGAAUAAGGACUGGGUAAGACGAGUGCCAGCCGCCGCGGUAAUACUCGCGGUCCAAGUCGCAGCCACUUUUAUUGGGUCUAAAACAUCCGUAGCUUGCUUAAUAAGUUUCUUGUGAAAUUCUGUCUCUUAAGGGCAGAGCGGGCAGGAAGUACUGUUAAGCUAGAGACUGGAAGACGUGAGAAGUAUGUUCGAAGUAGCGGUAAAAUGUGUUAAUCUUGAACAGACUCACAAGAGCGAAGGCAUCUCACGAGGACAGUUCUGACAGUAAGGGAUGAAAGCUAGGGGCGCAAAAGGGAUUAGAUACCCCUGUAGUCCUAGCAGUAAACACUGCACACUAAACAUUAGUACCUCCUCGAGAGGUAUUAGUGCUGAAGGGAAGCCGAAGAGUGUGCUACCUGGGGAGUAUAGUCGCAAGGCCGAAACUUAAAGGAAUUGGCGGGGGAGCAC